CACAGGUGCUGCAUGGCUGUCGUCAGCUCGUGUCGUGAGAUGUUGGGUUAAGUCCCGCAACGAGCGCAACCCUUGUCAUUAGUUGCCAUCAUUUGGUUGGGCACUCUAAUGAGACUGCCGGUGACAAACCGGAGGAAGGUGGGGAUGACGUCAAGUCCUCAUGGCCCUUAUGGGUAGGGCUUCACACGUCAUACAAUGGUCGGUACAGAGGGUUGCCAACCCGCGAGGGGGAGCUAAUCCCACAAAGCCAAUCGUAGUCCGGAUCGCAGUCUGCAACUCGACUGCGUGAAGUCGGAAUCGCUAGUAAUCGUGGAUCAGCAUGUCACGGUGAAUACGUUCCCGGGCCUU
RNAcentral lists this ribosomal RNA (348 nucleotides) under uncultured Rhodocyclaceae bacterium. RNAcentral describes it as "bacterial SSU rRNA". It matches the Rfam family "Bacterial small subunit ribosomal RNA", at positions 1033 to 1382 of the family's 1533-position model. The record is from RNAcentral. Lineage: Bacteria; Pseudomonadati; Pseudomonadota; Betaproteobacteria; Rhodocyclales; Rhodocyclaceae.